RNAcentral lists this unclassified non-coding RNA (252 nucleotides) under Xylographa vitiligo. RNAcentral's name for it is "partial contains 5.8S ribosomal RNA, internal transcribed spacer 2, and large subunit ribosomal RNA". Lineage: Eukaryota; Fungi; Ascomycota; Lecanoromycetes; Baeomycetales; Xylographaceae. The record is from RNAcentral.
CGCACAUUGCGCCCUUCGGUAUUCCGGGGGGCAUGCCUGUUCGAGCGUCAUUACACCACUCAAGCUCUGCUUGGUAUUGGGAGAUCGUCCCUCCGGGGGCGCUCCCGAAAGACAGCGGCGAAGCAACCGAGCUCUCUAGCGCAGUGACAUCUUAGAUCUCGCUACGAGUCUUGCCCGGGGGCCUCCGCCGGACAACCACCCAAAUUUUCUAUGGUUGACCCCGGAUCAGGUAGGGAUACCCGCUGAACUUAA